AGAGCGAACGCUGGCGGCAUGCUUAACACAUGCAAGUCGCACGGGCAGCAAUGUCAGUGGCGGACGGGUGAGUAACGCGUAGGUAUCUAUCCUUGGGUGGGGGACAACUGUGGGAAACUACAGCUAAUACCGCAUAACAACUGAGGUUCAAAGGCGCAAGUCGCCUGAGGAGGAGCCUGCGUACGAUUAGCUAGUUGGUGGGGUAAAGGCCUACAAGGCGACGAUCGUUAGCUGGUCUGAGAGGAUGAUCAGCCACAUUGGGACUGAGACACGGCCCAAACUCCUACGGGAGGCAGCAGUGGGGAAUAUUGGACAAUGGGCGAAAGCCUGAUCCAGCAAUGCCGCGUGUGUGAAGAAGGUCUUCGGAUUGUAAAGCACUUUCGACGGGACGAUGAUGACGGUACCCGUAGAAGAAGCCCGGCUAACUUCGACGCCAGCAGCCGC
Molecule: ribosomal RNA, 444 nt
Filed under: uncultured bacterium
Lineage: Bacteria
Description: SSU rRNA
Rfam family: Bacterial small subunit ribosomal RNA
Source: RNAcentral